AGCAGCCGCGGUAAUUCCAGCUCCAAUAGCGUAUAUUAAAGUUGUUGCAGUUAAAAGCUCGUAGUUGAAUUUCGGGAUCAUAAGGUUGGUCGUGCCUCUGGUAUGUACUGAUCUCGAUGGUUCCUCCUUCUUGGAGAACCGUAAUGGCAUUAAUUUGUUGUUGCGGGGAAACAGGACUGUUACUUUGAAAAAUUGAGUGUUUAAAGCAGGCAAUCGCUUGAAUACAUUAGCAUGGAAUAAUGAAAUAGGACGUUCGAUCCUAUUUGUUGGUUUCUAGGAUUGACGUAAUGAUUAAUAGGGAUAGUUGGGGGCAUUAGUAUUCAAUUGUCAGAGGUGAAAUUCUUGGAUUUAUUGAAGACUAACUACUGCGAAAGCAUUUGCCAAGGAUGUUUUCAUUAAUCAAGAACGAAAG
RNAcentral lists this unclassified non-coding RNA (412 nucleotides) under uncultured Glomus. RNAcentral describes it as "SSU rRNA". It matches the Rfam family "Eukaryotic small subunit ribosomal RNA", at positions 569 to 989 of the family's 1831-position model. Lineage: Eukaryota; Fungi; Glomeromycota; Glomeromycetes; Glomerales; Glomeraceae. The record is from RNAcentral.